This 583-nucleotide ribosomal RNA is filed under the name uncultured bacterium. RNAcentral's name for it is "bacterial SSU rRNA". It matches the Rfam family "Bacterial small subunit ribosomal RNA", at positions 338 to 916 of the family's 1533-position model. The record is from RNAcentral.
CCUACGGGAGGCAGCAGUAGGGAAUCUUCGGCGAUGGGCGAAAGCCUGACCGAGCAACGCCGCGUGAAUGAUGAAGGCCUUCGGGUUGUAAAAUUCUGUUAUAAGGGAAGAACGACUUUAGUAGGAAAUGGCUAGAGUGUGACGGUACCUUAUGAGAAAGCCACGGCUAACUACGUGCCAGCAGCCGCGGUAAUACGUAGGUGGCGAGCGUUAUCCGGAAUUAUUGGGCGUAAAGAGCGCGCAGGUGGUUGAUUAAGUCUGAUGUGAAAGCCCACGGCUUAACCGUGGAGGGUCAUUGGAAACUGGUCGACUUGAGUGCAGAAGAGGGAAGUGGAAUUCCAUGUGUAGCGGUGAAAUGCGUAGAGAUAUGGAGGAACACCAGUGGCGAAGGCGGCUUCCUGGUCUGUAACUGACACUGAGGCGCGAAAGCGUGGGGAGCAAACAGGAUUAGAUACCCUGGUAGUCCACGCCGUAAACGAUGAGUGCUAAGUGUUGGGGGUCGAACCUCAGUGCUGAAGUUAACGCAUUAAGCACUCCGCCUGGGGAGUACGGUCGCAAGACUGAAACUCAAAUGAAUUGACGG